Molecule: long non-coding RNA, 326 nt
Filed under: Homo sapiens (human)
Lineage: Eukaryota; Metazoa; Chordata; Mammalia; Primates; Hominidae
Description: HSALNT0367722
Source: RNAcentral
CCUGGCCUCAAGUGAUUCUCCCACCUCAGCCUCCCAAAGUGCUGAAAUUACAGGAAUUCUAAUUUAAAUUGUUUCAGAACUGCCAGGAAAGCUGCAGAACAGAGGUCUGAAAACAUAAGAGAAGCCAGGAAAAUGCAAGUCCUUCCUCCUGACCCUAGAAAAUCUCUGCUGCCAAGGCUGGGACUCUGCUGCCAACUUCAGGCCUGGGAAAACCAAGACUCCAGGAGCUCUACCUCUAGGAUUCUUCCAAACAUCUCACCAUGUCCUCUGAUACCUCUGUAGUCAUCUGCCACAACCUACUUCUGAAUAAAUCCUACAUUCCACCU